This 702-nucleotide long non-coding RNA is filed under the name Setaria italica (foxtail millet). RNAcentral's name for it is "long non-coding RNA (SITA_LNC005396)". The record is from RNAcentral. Lineage: Eukaryota; Viridiplantae; Streptophyta; Magnoliopsida; Poales; Poaceae.
UAGCCGCAUAAAGUUAAUCACGAGGGCUUCUGUGUCAAUGUUGCUAGUUCAGGACUUCAGGUGAUCCGAAAGCUUUGGAAGCUUGUGUUGACUGUGGUGCAUGGUGGCAGGCGUCAGCCACAGCGGUGUAUCGGCAUUUGGGCCUUGUUUAGUUGGCCAAUUUGGGAGAUGCAAAAUUCCUGUUCCAGCACUGUAGCACACUGUAGCAUUUCGUUUGUAUUUGCGAAUUAUUGUCCAAACAUUGACUAAUUAGGCUCAAAAGAUUCGUCUCGCAAAGUACAACAAAACUGUGCAAUUAGUUUUUAAUUUCAUCUACAUUUAGUAUUACAUGCAUGUACCGCAAGUUUGAUGUGAUGGAGAAUCUUCUUUUUGCAUAGUGUCAAAAUUGGGAGUUGGGGAGUAACUAAACAUGGCCUUGCACAUAGUUCAUGGGUCCUCGGAGUUCGCAUUUUGGAACGCGAGGAGAUAAGACGCCGGGAUUAGAAAAAGUGCAUGCAGAACUGUUACUACUACUUGUAGCAUAUUCUGUGGUUUUCUCAACUGCAGUUUUUUUCCCCUUUCUCCAAGCAUGUGGCUGUGUCAUCUGCCAUGUACUCAUACAUGUGUCACAACUCACAACGUGGCAAUUGUCGCAAGUGACAGCAUGGACGUAACGCCUGACGGCACGGCAAAGCGAUGGCAUCCGCGUAGCGUAGACUGCAC